UUUCAAGCUGUGUGUUCUGCGGGGGCAGGGAGAGCUGCAAUGGCUCAUCUUUCAGGACAUGCUGCAAAGGGCCUUUGAAGUCAUCCGCCCUGCUCUUGGCACCUUGCGCCUGGAGCUGAGCUCUUCCAAAAAUGACCCCUGCGCAUUCCGUGGUGCGGCCGCCCAGCCCAGGCAGUCGCGGUCCAGAGCAGGGGAAGCAGCAGCGCGGCCGGCAGCUGGGAGAGCCGAGGCCCCGAGGGAGGACCCUGCCUCAAGCCAAGCAACCAGGCCCUGCGGCCCUCUCCCCACCGCCGUGCGGCCCUGGCGCAGGGAACCGGGACGGGGCUUUCCGGCCUUGAAGGGCACACUUACUCCACCAAACAUUCCCAUCGUCGGCUGAUGGAGGGCCUCGAGCUGGGCGCUGUGGAUGCCCUUCUAGAGAGACCUGCCAGACUGAGCUGCUUCCAUCAGCCAGACAUGAGGAUAAGAGCAUUUAGUGAGGAAAUUGCCUAAUCAUUUGCAGGCUAAGAGGAAAGACCGCACUGCAGCACAACUUAUUUGAAUAGGAAGCACCAAGACUUCUUAUCUUAAUGCUAACGACCGCCCGUUUAUGUUAGACGAUCCCCUGGGCGUCUUUCCUUUUGUCUCCUUGAGUUUGAACCCUUAAGACCACCUGAACGGUGGGGAAAUCCUCCCUCAACGUGCGUGGCUCAUCUCGCCACGAGGGGGCGCUCCCAGAUCAGAGACACGCGGCUGCCGCCCACCCACCUCGCGGCCUCCACCUCCGGUGCGUGCAUCAUCUUCGCGCACCUGCCCAGAGGGCGGGGCCGGGGGCGGGGGUCUCCUGCCCCAUUAAGACUCCCUGAAGUCCAGGUGCAGCCCUGAAGGCUAGAGCAAGGUCACUACCGAGGCAAGAUGUUCUGUGAGACGUCCCGGGAUCUCUGUGAAAACUCUGGACCUCUGGGAAGUCAAUGGGGACUGCACUGAGGGCCUACUGUGUGCCAGGGCUUUAUGUAACCCAAGUUAUUCACUCCACAAACACUGAGGGCCUGCAGAGGUGGCUGUCCAAGAAGGGAAGGAAGCUGAGGGUGAAGGAGGGAGCCUGACCCUCAGACCAGUUUCCCUGGCAGCCGGCAGAGCAUUCUGCAGCACGUUGCCAAGCAAGAAAGUGGUCUCAGCUGUGCACUAGCUUCAGCCUGCUCCUAGGGGAGCUCUGGAGUGGGAGCUGCACUACCACGAGGGCGUCAAAUGAGAAGUGUAUUGAUAUCCCAGCAGACCUCAAUAUCCUUUUUCAUCUUCCCGCUAUAACCAGAAUAUGUGCGCAAGCAGUGCAGGAGCUCUUCUUUUUAGAGUGCAAUAAAUGAACUUCAACCCCUCUCGAGAAGUGAGUAAAGAGGCAGCCCUAGGACACAGAGACAGUGCAGUGAGGCUGCCGUGACUUAUCGCCCAGGAACCCACUGAUUGAGUAACUUUGGACAAAGCCUCGAGCAAAGAUAACUGUUUAAGUGGCUGCGGCAGCGGAAAAAUCAGUUUGGCUGAUUGAUGUCCUGGGUUUCUUGUUAGUGGGUGGCUUCCAGCCAUGGCUCUGCCUCAGCUCCCAGAAUUACUCCAAUAAGUGAUUUGCUCAUCCCUAACUCUUCUGAGGGGGUGGGGAGAGGGAGCUGAAUCAGCCUUCUCACAACCCUGAUUGGGAUUUAAUAGGGGACUAGUGGGCAUUGGUGCACUGGGGGCAAUGUGGGGAGAGGAGCAGAUUUGUCAGGCUUGGCAAAAAUAUCUGGCUCCUGCCUGUGGGUGUGGAGGGGAAAAUAAAGUCAGAAAAGAAGCGA
This 1805-nucleotide non-coding RNA is filed under the name Pan troglodytes (chimpanzee). The record is from RNAcentral. Lineage: Eukaryota; Metazoa; Chordata; Mammalia; Primates; Hominidae.